GUAGGCUGAAACUCGCCUACAUGAAGCUGGAGUUACUAGUAAUCGCAGAUCAGAAUGCUGCGGUGAAUGCGUUCCCGGGUCUUGUACACACCGCCCGUCACACCACGGAAGUUGGGGGCGCCCGAAGCCACUUAGCUAACCCAUUUGGGAAGCGAGUGUCGAAGGUGAAAUCAAUAACUGGGGUGAAGUCGUAACAAGGUAAC
Molecule: ribosomal RNA, 203 nt
Filed under: uncultured bacterium
Lineage: Bacteria
Description: partial 16S ribosomal RNA
Rfam family: Bacterial small subunit ribosomal RNA
Source: RNAcentral